UACAGAGGUCUCAAGCGUUGUUCGGAUUCAUUGGGCGUAAAGGGUGCGUAGGCGGCGCGGUAAGUCGGGUGUGAAAUCUCGGAGCUUAACUCCGAAACUGCAUUCGAUACUGCCGUGCUUGAGGACUGGAGAGGAGACUGGAAUUUACGGUGUAGCGGUGAAAUGCGUAGAUAUCGUAAGGAAGACCAGUGGCGAAGGCGGGUCUCUGGACAACACCUGACGCUGAGGCACGAAAGCGUGGGGAGCAAACAGG
Molecule: ribosomal RNA, 253 nt
Filed under: uncultured bacterium
Lineage: Bacteria
Description: partial 16S ribosomal RNA
Rfam family: Bacterial small subunit ribosomal RNA
Source: RNAcentral